UCAUAUUUGGCUUUAUUCCCUAUUUUAUUUUUAUAUUAAAAACACAAAACAUUAUUUCUCCUUCCAAAAUUCCAUUUAUGAUUCUCGUCUCCACAUUUUCUGACUCCCGCACCAGACCAGACUCCUCCCUUCCAUGUCGCUAUUCGUCGCAGUCCGGCCUAAGUUGGCGUCGUCGCUACAUCUCCACACCAAACUCCCCCUUCCCUACCCCUAUUCGCCGGCGGCGUGGCCGAAGUUCAGCCCCAAGUUGCGCCGCC
RNAcentral lists this long non-coding RNA (257 nucleotides) under Salvia miltiorrhiza (redroot sage). Its description in RNAcentral is "long non-coding RNA (SMIL_LNC008680)". The record is from RNAcentral. Lineage: Eukaryota; Viridiplantae; Streptophyta; Magnoliopsida; Lamiales; Lamiaceae.